Molecule: ribosomal RNA, 408 nt
Filed under: uncultured bacterium
Lineage: Bacteria
Description: partial 16S ribosomal RNA
Rfam family: Bacterial small subunit ribosomal RNA
Source: RNAcentral
GACGAACGCUGGCGGCGUGCUUAACACAUGCAAGUCGAACGAAGUGGCGAACGGGUGAGUAAUACGUGGGUAACCUUCCCUCCUUUUUGGGAUAAGCCUUGGAAACGGGGUCUAAUACCGACUAAAGGGGGAGGGGCUCGCGGCCUAUCAGCUUGUUGGGGGGGUGCUGGCCUACCAGGGCGGUGACGGGUAGCCGGCCUGAGAGGGGGACGGGCACCAUGGGGACGCAGAUACGGCCACGAGUGGUACGGGAGGCAGCAGUGGGGCAUAUGGCGAAAUGGUGAAGGAGCAGCGGCGCGGACGCCGAGAGGGUGAUGAAGGCUUUAGGGUUGUAAAUCUGUUUCGAUAUCGAACGGGUAGGUGGAGAAGAAGCGCCGGCUAACUACGUGCCAGCAGCCGCGGUAAUUC